Molecule: ribosomal RNA, 1232 nt
Filed under: Parafronurus sp. XL-2019
Lineage: Eukaryota; Metazoa; Arthropoda; Insecta; Ephemeroptera; Heptageniidae
Description: 16S ribosomal RNA
Rfam family: Bacterial large subunit ribosomal RNA
Source: RNAcentral
UAUAAAGCUAAAUUUAUUAGGUUUAUGGAUUGGGUAUUUAAAACAAUAUGAAUUUUUAAGUUUGGUAUUAGGUAAAGACAAAAUUGUGGAAGCGUUAGUUUUAGUACUGUGAGGGAAAAUUGAAAUAAGUGAAAUAAGAAUUGUUAGUGAAGUAGGUGGAGUGCCGUACCUUUUGUAUCAGGGUUUAUUAAUUAGAGGGGAAGAAAUUCUAUUAUCUCGAUAUAAGAAGGGCUACCAUUUUAAUUUAUAUAGGGUGAUAAACUUAUUUAAAAUAGGGUGGUAGGAACGAAAAGUUAAUCGAUUCUUAUGGUUUCUAGUUUCUUAAGAAAUAAAUUUAAUUUAGGAACAAUGGGAACUUUGAAUAGUAUAUUUAAAGUUUUGAAUGGUUCUACUAAUUUGAGGGAUAAGCUUUAAGUUAGUCUUAAAACUUAAGAAAGGAGGAAAAUUUGUAGGCUUGAAAGUAGCCAUCAGUCAAGGAUGUUAUAAUUUAUUUUCUAAGUUUUAAAUUUUCGUAGGUUUAGGUAAUUAUUAAGAAAUCACUUUGAAUUUGAAGAGUGAGAUAUAAUGAUAAAAUCAGUAGAACUCGCCUGUUUAUCAAAAACAUCGCCUUUUGAAGAAAUAGAAGGUCUGACCUGCCCACUGAAUAUUUUAAAGGGCCGCGGUAUUUUGACCGUGCAAAGGUAGCAUAAUCAUUAGUCUUCUAAUUAAAGGCUGGAAUGAAUGGUUGGACGAGGUACUAGCUGUCUCACUAAAAUAGUUUUGAAUUUAGCUUUUCAGUCAAAAGGCUGAAAUAAGGUUGGAGGACGAGAAGACCCUAUAGAGCUUUACGUUUAAUUUCUUUGACUUGUUUAGAGAAAAUUUUGGUUUUAGGAGGUAGACGUUUCGUUGGGGUGACGGGAAGAUAAAAUUAACUCUUUUUGAAUUUUAACAUUGAUGAAUGAAUAAUUGAUCCAUAUGUAAUGAUUAAAAGACUAAGUUACCUUAGGGAUAACAGCGUAAUCUUUUUUGAGAGUUCUAAUCGACAAGAAGGGUUGCGACCUCGAUGUUGGACUAAGGGUUAUUUUUGGGUGUAGCAGCUCAAAGUUUAGGUCUGUUCGACCUUUGAAUCCUUACAUGAUCUGAGUUCAGACCGGCGUAAGCCAGGUCGGUUUCUAUCCUCAAUUAAAGGGAAUAUUUUAGUACGAAAGGACCAAAUAUUCAAGAUAGUCUUAGAAGGUGAAUAAUAUUAACUA